This 253-nucleotide ribosomal RNA is filed under the name uncultured bacterium. RNAcentral describes it as "partial 16S ribosomal RNA". It matches the Rfam family "Bacterial small subunit ribosomal RNA", at positions 524 to 776 of the family's 1533-position model. The record is from RNAcentral.
UACAGAGGGGGCAAGCGUUAUUCGGAAUUAUUGGGCGUAAAGGGUGCGUAGGCGGCCUGACAAGUGGAAGGUGAAAUCCCUCGGCUCAACUGAGGAACUGCCCUCCAAACUGUUUGGCUUGAGACCGGGAGAGGUGAGUGGAAUUCCCAGUGUAGCGGUGAAAUGCGUAGAUAUUGGGAGGAACACCAGUGGCGAAGGCGGCUCACUGGACCGGUACUGACGCUGAGGCGCGAAAGCGUGGGGAGCGAACAGG